CCCCAGCGCCACAAGUGGUUAUCACGAUUAUUGGGCCUAAAGCGUUCGUAGCCGGUUUGGUAAAUCUCUUGUGAAAUUGUUCGGCUUAACCGGACAGCGUGCAGGAGACACUGCCAGACUCGAGACCGGGAGGGGUUAGAAGUAUUCCAUGGGGACUGGUAAAAUGGGAUAAUCCAUGGAAGACUACCGAUGGCGAAGGCAUCUAACCAGAACGGAUCUGACGGUGAGGAACGAAGGCCAGGGGAGCGAACCGG
Molecule: ribosomal RNA, 254 nt
Filed under: uncultured bacterium
Lineage: Bacteria
Description: partial 16S ribosomal RNA
Rfam family: Archaeal small subunit ribosomal RNA
Source: RNAcentral